Molecule: unclassified non-coding RNA, 698 nt
Filed under: Hevea brasiliensis (rubber tree)
Lineage: Eukaryota; Viridiplantae; Streptophyta; Magnoliopsida; Malpighiales; Euphorbiaceae
Source: RNAcentral
GGCAGCUAUAGUUUCAAUGCUCCUAGGUCCUUUUGUUCCUUGUGCUAUAUUUGUUGCAUGCAUGUGGUUUUUCAAAGCAAUUUUGCUAGUUUAUGCGGGUCUAUUUGAUGGUGCUCGGUUUCAUGGAGAGGACACGAGAGAAAAAAAAGAUCAUUUCUUGGUCCUUACCAUCGUCUGAGCCUGUUCGCUAACUAAGUUUAGAGCUCUGAUUUCUUUCCUAAUUUAAACACCGUAAGUAGAUUUUGCAUACUACUAGAGUAUGGGUGUCGUCUUCAGUCUAGCUUGUUCUCGAUCUGCUUUGGCUGGCCGUGCUCGACAUCCAGGAGGAGGGCUUUGCUGCUCCAGUGGUUGUUGGGCUUGCUGUUUUCCCAUGGUGAUGCUUCUUUUGAGUUUGAUGGGUUUCCAACUGCUUCCUCGAUGCUCUUGGGUUGUUUUCUAAGAGACCUCCUCUUCAGGCAUCUUCAAUCAUUUUAAUCCCCCUGGCGAUGCUUAAUCAGUCGGUAAUCUUACUCACCAGUGUUCACAUAAAUGCGAUGUUCUCAAUGUGUUUCCUGUGGUUCACUCUUUGCAGCACAAACUGAAUAGUCAACCGGGCUAUGAGUUUUGAGUCGCUUUCCAUGUUCUGUUAGGGUUUCAUAUGUAAUGGGUUGGGCUUUCAUAGGGCAGAACUUAGUUCUUUAGCUGAAAGCUUGUUUUUU